Molecule: ribosomal RNA, 403 nt
Filed under: uncultured bacterium
Lineage: Bacteria
Description: bacterial SSU rRNA
Rfam family: Bacterial small subunit ribosomal RNA
Source: RNAcentral
GGAAUAUUGCACAAUGGGCGCAAGCCUGAUGCAGCGACGCCGCGUGAGGGAUGACGGCCUUCGGGUUGUAAACCUCUUUCAGUAGGGAAGAAGCGAAAGUGACGGUACCUGCAGAAGAAGCGCCGGCUAACUACGUGCCAGCAGCCGCGGUAAAACGUAGGAGGCAAGCGUUAUCCGGAAUUACUGGGCGUAAAGGGCGUCUAGGCGGUGGCUCAAGCGCGGUGUGAAAGCUCCUGGCUCAACUGGGAGAGUGCGCUGCGAACUGGGCGACUAGAGGGCAGGCGACGGCGGUGGAAUUCCCGGUGGAGUGGUGAAAUGCGUAGAGAUCGGGAGGAACACCAGUGGCGAAGGCGGCCGCCGAGCCUGUUUCUGACGCUGAAGCGCGACAGCGUGGGGAGCAAAC